Hordeum vulgare subsp. vulgare (domesticated barley) is the source of this 125-nucleotide non-coding RNA. Lineage: Eukaryota; Viridiplantae; Streptophyta; Magnoliopsida; Poales; Poaceae. The record is from Rfam.
CUUCUACUCCCUCUAUCCGGAAUUACUUGCCGCAUAAAUUGAUAAAAUUGGAUGUAUCUAAAACUGAAAUACAUCGAGAUAUAUUCAUUCUUAUGACAAGUAUUUCCAGACGGAGGGAGUAGCUU